AGAUGCUCAUUGGGUUUAAAGUGUGCGCAGGCGGUUCGGAAAGAAAGAUGUGAAAUCCCAGAGCUUAACUUUGGAACUGCAUUUUUAACUACCGAGCUAGAGUGUGUCAGAGGGGGGUGGAAUUCCGCGUGUAGCAGUGAAAUGCGUAGAUAUGCGGAGGAACACCGAUGGCGAAGGCAGCCCCCUGGGAUAACACUGACGCUCAUGCACGAAAGCGUGGGGAGCAAACAGGAUUAGAUACCCUGGUAGUCCACGCCCUAAACGAUGUCAACUAGCUGUUGGGGCCUUCGGGCCUUGGUAGCGCAGCUAACGCGUGAAGUUGACCGCCUGGGGAGUACGGUCGCAAGAUUAAAACUUAAAGGAAUUGACGG
RNAcentral lists this ribosomal RNA (371 nucleotides) under uncultured Achromobacter sp. RNAcentral's name for it is "bacterial SSU rRNA". It matches the Rfam family "Bacterial small subunit ribosomal RNA", at positions 545 to 916 of the family's 1533-position model. The record is from RNAcentral. Lineage: Bacteria; Pseudomonadati; Pseudomonadota; Betaproteobacteria; Burkholderiales; Alcaligenaceae.